GAGAUGCGAGUUGAACGGCAGCACGGUCUAGCUUGAAAGACUGGUGGCGAGUGGCGAACGGGUGAGUAACGCGUAGGAAUAUACCUUGAAGAGGGGGAUAACUUGGGGAAACUCAAGCUAAUACCGCAUAAGCUCUAAGGAGGAAAGCUGGGGACCGCAAGGCCUGGCGCUUCAAGAUUAGCCUGCGUCCGAUUAGCUAGUUGGUGGGGUAAGGGCCUACCAAGGCGACGAUCGGUAGCUGGUCUGAGAGGAUGGCCAGCCACACUGGGACUGAGACACGGCCCAGACUCCUACGGGAGGCAGCAGUGGGGAAUAUUGGACAAUGGGGGGAACCCUGAUCCAGCAAUGCCGCGUGUGUGAAGAAGGCCUGAGGGUUGUAAAGCACUUUCAGUGGGGAGGAGGACUGACGGGUUAAGAGCUGGUUAGUUGGACGUUACCCACAGAAGAAGCACCGGCUAACUCCGUGCCAGCAGCCGCGGUAAUACGGAGGGUGCAAGCGUUAAUCGGAAUUACUGGGCGUAAAGGGUGCGUAGGCGGUUGUAUAAGUUAACUGUGAAAUCCCCGGGCUCAACCUGGGCAGGUCAGUUAAGACUGUAUAACUCGAGUAUGGGAGAGGGUAGUGGAAUUUCCGGUGUAGCGGUGAAAUGCGUAGAGAUCGGAAGGAACACCAGUGGCGAAGGCGGCUACCUGGGCCCUAAUACUGACACUGAGGGCACCGAAAGCGUGCGGAGCAAACAGGGAUUAGAAUACCCUUGGUAGUCCACGCUGUAAACGAUGUCAACUAGUCUGAAGGCCUUAUGCAAUAAGGUU
This 810-nucleotide ribosomal RNA is filed under the name uncultured bacterium. Its description in RNAcentral is "bacterial SSU rRNA". It matches the Rfam family "Bacterial small subunit ribosomal RNA", at positions 52 to 840 of the family's 1533-position model. The record is from RNAcentral.